GGCGAACGCUGGCGGCGUGCUUAACACAUGCAAGUCGAACGGAAAGGCCCUGCUUGCAGGGUACUCGAGUGGCGAACGGGUGAGUAACACGUGGGUGAUCUGCCCUGCACUUCGGGAUAAGCUUGGGAAACUGGGUCUAAUACCGGAUAGGAGCCAUCUUUAGUGUGGUGGUUGGAAAGUUUUUUCGGUGUAGGAUGAGCUCGCGGCCUAUCAGCUUGUUGGUGGGGUAAUGGCCUACCAAGGCGGCGACGGGUAGCCGGCCUGAGAGGGUGUACGGCCACAUUGGGACUGAGAUACGGCCCAGACUCCUACGGGAGGCAGCAGUGGGGAAUAUUGCACAAUGGGCGCAAGCCUGAUGCAGCGACGCCGCGUGGGGGAUGAAGGCCUUCGGGUUGUAAACUCCUUUCGCUAGGGACGAAGCUUUUUGUGACGGUACCUAGAUAAGAAGCACCGGCUAACUACGUG
Molecule: ribosomal RNA, 465 nt
Filed under: uncultured bacterium
Lineage: Bacteria
Description: partial 16S ribosomal RNA
Rfam family: Bacterial small subunit ribosomal RNA
Source: RNAcentral